UCUAAUCUGCCCACCAAAAAAGGGUCUCUGCCUUAAGAAAGGUAAGAGAAGAGAAGGGUUUUUCUCUCCGCAAGGGUUUUGCUGGAUUUUCUUCUCUUCAAUGAAAUAAAUCGAAGAUGGCUUCUUCCAUGGCAAUCCGUUGUUCACAGCCACCAAAACUGUUUUCUCUCCACUCUUCAAGGUACGCUCCCUUCAACACUUGAAUAACAAAACCCGAAUCCUUCCUAAAACCCUCUCCACUUCGGCUAUACCAAAUGUCUAUCGAACAACAUCACCUCCUUCUCAUUCUUCUGAUCAAAGAUUUUACGGAGACGAGUUGGGAAACCCUCCUCCUCCUCAUCAUCAUCAUCAUCAUCAUCAUCAGUCGACCUCACAACCUGGAAACUUCAUUCUCAAUCAACGGACCCAAAAUCAGCAAUACCCUCCUCCAAACCAUUAUAAUUAUCCAAAUACGGUAUACCCUAAUCAGGGUUGUGCCUAUCCUAAUCAAGAAGGAUAUCCUCAACAACACCAGCACCAGUAUCAAACCCCUAAUCCAUGGAAUCAGAAUUAUCCUCAGCAGGAUAAUCAAUGGAAUCAAAAUUAUUCCCAGCACCAAAACCCUCCUCAGGUUAGACCUAAUGUUCGGGGGAAUUAUGGCCACCCCGGAAGCCCAAAUCGAUGGGACAACCGAAUCAGGGAUACCCACAACAGAGAAACACUGAUCAGUGGGCCCCACGUGUGGGUCCGGCCAAUCGACGACAGGAUAUGAAUGUUAAUGCUAGUGUUAAUGCUCAUGCUAAUGUUCCAGCUCCGCCUCCGCCUCUUUCGGUUUAUGACUUGGCGCGUUUGUGUCAAGAGGGUAAGGUUAACCAAGCUAUAGAGUUCUUGGAAAGUCCGCUUGAUCCAUCAAAGGCUGUUGGGAGUUUGGGAUUAGUCCAACUCUUGAGCAUUAUUUGGGGGUUAUAGAUGUUCUUGGAAAGUCCGCUUAUCUUAACGAGGCUGAGGAGUAUAUUGAGAAACUUCCAUUUGAACCCACAGUGGAAAUUUGGGAGGCCUUAAGGAAAUAUGCUCAAAAUCAUGGAGACAUUGAUCUUGAAGACCAGGCUGAGGAAUUGAUCAUUUCCCUUGAUCCAUCAAAGGCUGUUGCUAAUAAAAUCCCAACUCCGCUAAUUAAACUGUGGUAUAGAGAAUUCCCUUCAAGUGCAAAGAACAGGGGCCAGUGCUCUCCUUUGGCAGAUUUGUUGUACAUUAGUGUCGAUGCUUGAUGGUUAGUUUUCAAUUGGAAAAUUUGCAUGGUGUUUUUGGUGGUUUCAAAUCCUGUUUCCAUGCCUUCCCUGCUUGAAGGUAGUCACAAAUAGGAAAAAUGUCUCUGGUAAACAGGUAACAUUUCUCGUGAAUUGAUGGGGGAACUUGUUAUAUAAAUGUGGUGGGAAGGGAAUGUAAGGACCAAGGAGGAUUAUUUGAAGGUUUUCUCUGCUUUGAUGUAAUUAGCAUACAGUCUUUUAUGAUUUCUUUUUUAUUGAUAUGAAACAAGUCUUAACUGUCGAUGAAAGCAGUGUUCGAUAAAGAAGAAUAAUCCAUUAUUUUUGGCCUUCCUAUCUGAACAGAACUUAUUUCGAGUUUCACAUUAUACUUACUUGAAGACUUAAAUGAA
Populus trichocarpa (black cottonwood) is the source of this 1636-nucleotide long non-coding RNA. RefSeq lists it as uncharacterized. The record is from RefSeq and is a predicted model, not a curated record. The transcript is spliced from 2 exons. NCBI's taxonomy places the organism in Eukaryota, Viridiplantae, Streptophyta, Magnoliopsida, Malpighiales, Salicaceae.